Molecule: long non-coding RNA, 957 nt
Filed under: Pavo cristatus (Indian peafowl)
Lineage: Eukaryota; Metazoa; Chordata; Aves; Galliformes; Phasianidae
Description: lncRNA (ENSPSTG00000001215.1)
Source: RNAcentral
ACUAUCCGCAAAUUAAUGGUAUCUUUAUUCAAAUGAGAAGCGGUGCUUAUGUUAUGAAAAGCACUAUUAUAAGAUGUAUAAUUUGAAAAUGUAGCUUGAAUCUUUAUUAAUAAUGCUCAUAACAGGGUCAUCAAAUGGCAAUAUGAAACUUUACCCCCCAUCUUAGAGAUGGUGUAACUGAGAUAUACACUUAUUAGGGCAGAGGCAACAGGACUCCGAACUGUAUCUGCAUAUGUACCAAAUUGUGCAGCACCUACCUGAAGUAAUUGUGUCCCUUAAUUAUGUUUUAUCAUCAGCAAAUUCUUAACUUUUCAGAAUGUUCUUACUAUGUUUCCUGGUCUUCAUGGCACAUUCUACAGGAAUGUUUUCUGCAAUGAUCCUGCGUACAGGCAGCAAGCUUAAAGCAAACGGCUGAGCUCUUUCCCGAAGCUAUAGAAGAUAUUGCAGGAGUAUGCCCUGCUUGCUCUCAGGCAGGAAGCAUCCACUGAGAUUCUUAAGACAGUGCGCAUUACCCACCAGAGGGAGCUGAAGCCAAGAACUGUCAGAUUUUGCUUUGGCUUCCAAUUAUCAGAGGAUUCCCUACUGAAAGUCAUCUCCUCCACUUCACAGUGCUUUAGAUUCAGGCCUCUGUCUUCAGCCCUAACUUUUCUAUCCAAGUUCCAUCUGAAGGCAGCAGAUUUCACUGAUGACCUUAUUUGCACCUUCUUCAUUAAUCAUCUGAGUUCUCAUCUAAUUGUAUUCAGCUGUAUUCCAAAUACUAAUACCACUGAGAUAAUAUUUGGGAAUCUGAAGACCACGGGCAUGUGACCAAGUUACAUUCUGUUCCUUUUGGAGGUGAGCAAUUUCACUUCUGUUGCUACUUGUUAAACAAAUGAGAAUUGUUUCUGUGGGUCAGUUCAUUUCUAAAGGGAUCAUACAGAUGGAAAUCUCAAAUUAUCAAUAUCAUAAUUCCAUAUU